ACUCAAAUGAAUUGACGGGGACCCGCACAAGCAGUGGAGCAUGUGGUUUAAUUCGAUGCAACGCGAAGAACCUUACCCAGACUUGACAUGCAGUGGAAGUUAGUAGAGAUAUUAACGCCCUUCGGGGCCGCUGCACAGGUGCUGCAUGGCUGUCGUCAGCUCGUGCCGUGAGGUGUUGGGUUAAGUCCCGCAACGAGCGCAACCCUUAUCGUUAGUUGCCAACAGGUAAUGCUGGGAACUCUAGCGAGACUGCCUGGGUUAACCAGGAGGAAGGUGAGGAUGACGUCAAGUCCGCAUGGCCCUUAUGUCUGGGGCUACACACGUGCUACAAUGGUCGGUACAGAAGGCAGCGAAACCGCGAGGUGAAGCAAAUCCAACAAAGCCGGCCCCAGUUCAGAUUGUAGUCUGCAACUCGACUACAUGAAGAUGGAAUUGCUAGUAAUGGCGAGUCAGCAACAUCGCCGUGAAUACGUUCCCGGGUCUUGCACACACCGCCCGU
Molecule: ribosomal RNA, 499 nt
Filed under: uncultured bacterium
Lineage: Bacteria
Description: partial 16S ribosomal RNA
Rfam family: Bacterial small subunit ribosomal RNA
Source: RNAcentral